GAGAGAGAGAGCCCUGUGGAGGUAGUGAGAGAGAGAGCCCUGUGGAGGUAGUGAGAGAGAGAGUCCUGUGGAGGUAGUGAGAGAGAGCUCUGUGGAGGUAGUGAGAGAGAGAGUCCUGUGGAGGUAGUGAGAGAGAGAGUCCUGUGGAGGUAGUGAGAGAGAGAGAGCCCUGUAGAGGUAGUGAGAGAGAGAGAGCCCUGUAGAGGUAGUGAGAGAGAGAGCCC
Oncorhynchus keta (chum salmon) is the source of this 224-nucleotide long non-coding RNA. RefSeq lists it as uncharacterized. The transcript has 3 exons. NCBI's taxonomy places the organism in Eukaryota, Metazoa, Chordata, Actinopteri, Salmoniformes, Salmonidae. The record is from RefSeq and is a predicted model, not a curated record.